Molecule: ribosomal RNA, 278 nt
Filed under: uncultured bacterium
Lineage: Bacteria
Description: partial 16S ribosomal RNA
Rfam family: Bacterial small subunit ribosomal RNA
Source: RNAcentral
UGCCAGCCGCCGCGGUAAUACGAAGGGACCUAGCGUAGUCCGGAAUUACUGGGCUUAAAGAGUUCGUAGGUGGUUGAAAAGUUAGUGGUGAAAUCCCAGAGCUUAACUCUGGAACUGCCAUUAAAACUUUUCAGCUAGAGUAUGAUAGAGGAAAGCAGAAUUUCUAGUGUAGAGGUGAAAUUCGUAGAUAUUAGAAAGAAUACCAAUUGCGAAGGCGAUCUACUGGAACAUAACUGACGCUGAGGGACGAAAGCGUGGGGAGCGAACAGGAUUAGAUA